Molecule: transfer RNA, 74 nt
Filed under: Bacteroidota bacterium
Lineage: Bacteria; Pseudomonadati; Bacteroidota
Also listed under: 4 other names
Description: Bacteroidetes bacterium (soil metagenome) tRNA-Asn
Rfam family: tRNA
About the family: Transfer RNA (tRNA) molecules are approximately 80 nucleotides in length.
Source: RNAcentral
UCCUUCUUAGCUCAGCUGGUUAGAGCAUCUGACUGUUAAUCAGAGGGUCGCUGGUUCAAGUCCAGCAGAGGGAG